AUCUCUUAACUUACUUCACCUGUACCUAGAGCUUGAGGGCUCCUGCAGAGGGCAAGAGGCAUUCCAGGAACAUCGUGGGGUCACACUGCCUGUCACAUCCUCCCAGGACCCUGAGCCCCAAAAACAACCCAGCCUUGGGACCCUAGCCUGCCCAGUCUCCAGAGAUGUGAUACCAGCCAAGAUGGGAGCUGAAGCAGUCCAGCAAGAUGCUUGGUGUUCUGGUCGGGCUCUUUGUGCCGAUGCAGCUGCCAUGGGCCAUGGACUGUGACUCCAGCUGGUGGUGGAGAGAGGAAGAGCGUGGCCGCUGAGUCCAUUGUCAGCCCUGGAUCCCCAGUUGCAGCCUGAGCCAAAUGCUACUAAGGACCACUAACACCUGCUGAAAGCCCAUGCUUUUCCCAGAUGAAAUUUCUUCUGGGGCUGCCGGGAAGGAGGAGGAGGCGUGCCAUCCUGCCUCCCACUGCUUAACAAGAUCCUUGAGCUAGAUGGGCCCAGAAAAUCUCAUCCACUCCCCUUGGCUUCUUUGGAAUCAACACUGGCAUGCCUGCCAGACUUCAUGCCAUGGAAUGAGCUCUGGUCCUUAAAUAGCUGAUCCCAACUGAGAUUCCAGCUGCAAUUUACAGGUAGGACUCAGGAUGCCAGCAUAGGCACCCAUGGGCUAGAGCUGAGUGGCUGGAGUUUUUGCUGCCAGCACUUUCUGCAGAGUUAACAAACCAUCAGGAGUAGAGGAUGCUGAGGAGGUUUGCAUGUCCACCAUUUGCCUAUCAGACUCUCCAUUCAUUCCAAAAAAUGUACUGAGCAUUUGCACUUAAAGCUCCAGGAGGGCAGAGACUGUCUGUGGAUCUGGCAUGUGGCAGGGAGUCAGUGCUUAGAAAACAUUUGAAUGAAUGAACUUUACAGAAUUUUCUUUAGACCUUGAUGCUACUGGGGACUAGAGUUUGAGUGGAGGCUAACCUGGUUAGUUUUAUGCUUUUUGGAAGAUCGUUUAGGCAACUGUGGGAAAACAGGAGAAUGGACAGUAUGUCUGAGGAGCUUCCUCUGCUCGUGACUGAAGGGGAAUCAGAUUUGAACCUGGUACCUGAAGAUGGAGGAGGCCACCUGGAAGGAACAAAGAGCAGCCGCAAAGGGCUGAGAAGGAUCCCUGGCCAACAGGAAAUGAGGAUCCCAGUCCUGCAACCACAAGGAACUGAAAUCUGCCAACAGCAGUAACGAACUAGGAAGAGGAUCCCAAAUGCCAGAUCACAGCAGUUGGAAACUUUGAUUUCACCCUUGUAAGCACUGCUCAAAGAACCCAAUCAUGCCAUCCUGGACUUCUAACCUGCAGACCUGGGAGAGAAUGAAAGGAUAAGGCACUAAGUGGUCAUGAAGUGAAAGUCGCUCAGUCAUGUCUGACUCUUUGUGGCCACGUGGACGAUACAGUCCAUGGAAUUCUGCAGGCCAGAAUACUGAAGUGGGUAGCCUUUCCCUUCUCCAGAGUAUCUUCUCAAACCAGGGAUCAAACCCAGGUCUCCUGCAUUGUAGGUGGAUUCUUUACCAGGUGAGCCACAAGGGAAACCCAAGUGGUCAUAUGUUACAACAACAAUAGGAAAUGAAUACACCAACUGCUGGUUACAUUCACACAUGUGAAGGGGCAGGUCAGGACAAGCCAGCAGAGAAAAGAGGCCCAGGAGGACUUGGAGUUGAUGAUAAUCACCCCUACCUCAUCAGGUUGUGGAAAGGAUCGAAUGCACAGAAAGUAAGUGGAUAAAUGUUGGCCACUGGAGGUGUGGCUGGGACUGGACCUGGGUCCUAGAUGUAGGUGGAGAUCUGGGAGUUGCAGGAGAAGGGCUGCUGCUUCCAGACACCAAGCCUAUCUCAGUCGUUGAUUCCAUGAGAUAGGAUGGAGAGAGCAGGUGACAUUGUCACUGCCCAAGCUCUGCUGCAUCCCCUGUGCUUGGGGUCUGUCAAAUGGGCUGGUCCCAGUCCUCUCUGCCCGGGCUCACACCUCCUCUCCUUUGAGUUUACACCCACCCUCUAGAGCAGUGAGGAAUUACCGAGAUUGGUUGUGGCUGUCUCUGGUUUAUGAGCUUUUUAUUGCUGUGCUCUGCUGACAGCUGGUUUCUUACUUUGCCUUUGGAGGGGGGCAUGGAGGUCAUGGUCUUAUUACUAGAAUGUGAAAACUGGAAGCAUCUUUGGGACUUAUCUAUUCCCUCUCCUUCAGUAACAGAGGCUUGAUGAGGCUUGAGGAGGAAGGGACUUUCCCCAGACCACAGCGCAAACCAGGGGCCAGGCUUCUCUUCCUCCCUCGGUCAGUCUUUAGCUGGGCUUGGAGAGAGGUGGGAUUCAGGGAGCAGCAGGUGGUCCCCUUCCUAGCCCCGUGCUUCUUUUCCUCAGCCCCCAGUGUCACUGAGGAGGAACAGAAACCCGACCAUACUCAGUUUCUGUCCAGGCUUUCCUUUUCUAUGUGUGGAUGGAGAAAUCUAUUUUUUUCUUUCUUCACGAGAGGAGAGAAGACAGGCUGAAGUGGAGCAGACUGGGGAAGAAACUGGGUUAAGAGUGUUUGGGGCUUGAUAGGGAGACCUUUGGAGAAGGAAAUGGCAACCCACUCCAGUGUUCUUGCCUGGAGAAUCCCAGGGACGGGGGAGCCUCGUGGGCUGACGUCUAUGGGGUCACACAGAGUCGGACACAACUGAAGCGACUUAGCAGCAGGGAGACCUUGGGUGUCAGAGUCCUUUUGAUUUAGAUGAGGAGUCAGCAAAUGUUUCUGUUAAAGCUCUGCAGGCUACACAAUCUCUGUUGCAAGUGUUCAACUCUGCUGUCAGAGGAUGAAAGCAGCAUGGACAGUAUGUAAACAAAUGGAUGUAGAGUUUAGAAUAAAACUUUAUUUAUGAAAAAAAAGACAGUGGGCUACAUUUGGUUUAUGGGCUGUAGCCACUGUAGUUCCUUGAUUUGGAUGAUGAUGGUGGUGGCGGCUUCUCCCAUCCUCACCUCCUCAUUACCAUCCAUAACUCCAUGACUUGGAGCCCAAUAUUGGAAGGUUUUAGAUGCCUAAAUCACUUGUUGGCGACACA
This is a long non-coding RNA of Bos taurus (domestic cattle), 3047 nucleotides long. The record is from Ensembl. NCBI's taxonomy places the organism in Eukaryota, Metazoa, Chordata, Mammalia, Artiodactyla, Bovidae.